Molecule: ribosomal RNA, 326 nt
Filed under: uncultured CFB-group bacterium 93ev
Lineage: Bacteria; Pseudomonadati; Bacteroidota
Description: bacterial SSU rRNA
Rfam family: Bacterial small subunit ribosomal RNA
Source: RNAcentral
GAGUUUGAUCCUGGCUCAGGAUGAACGCUAGCGACAGGCCUAACACAUGCAAGUCGAGGGGCAGCACAAAGAGUAGCAAUACUUUUGGUGGCGACCGGCGCACGGGUGAGUAACACGUAUGCAACCUACCUGUAAGAGGGGAAUAACCCGGAGAAAUUCGGACUAAUACCGCAUAAUACCUUGAUUCUGCAUGGAUUCAAGGUUAAACAUUUAUGGCUUACAGAUGGGCAUGCGUAUGAUUAGCUAGUUGGUGAGGUAACGGCUCACCAAGGCAACGAUCAUUAGGGGUUCUGAGAGGAAGGUCCCCCACACUGGUACUGAGACAC